RNAcentral lists this ribosomal RNA (485 nucleotides) under uncultured bacterium. Its description in RNAcentral is "partial 16S ribosomal RNA". It matches the Rfam family "Bacterial small subunit ribosomal RNA", at positions 29 to 523 of the family's 1533-position model. The record is from RNAcentral.
AGUGAACGCUGGCGGCGUGCUUAACACAUGCAAGUCGAACGAGAACGGAAUAUAGCUUGCUAUAUUUGUCAGCUAAGUGGCGCACGGGUGAGUAAUGUAUAGAUAACCUGCCCCUAAGAAAGGAAUAACAGUUGGAAACGACUGCUAAUGCCCUAUAUGCCUUUAAUACAUAACUAUGCAAGGGAAACGCUUUAGUGCUUAAGGAUGGGUCUGUAUGGUAUCAGCUUGUUGGUGAGGUAAUGGCUCACCAAGGCUAUGACGCCUAACUGGUUUGAGAGGAUGAUCAGUCACACUGGAACUGAGACACGGUCCAGACUCCUACGGGAGGCAGCAGUGGGGAAUAUUGCACAAUGGACGAAAGUCUGAUGCAGCAACGCCGCGUGGAGGAUGACACAUUUCGGUGCGUAAACUCCUUUUAUAUAGGAAGAUAAUGACGGUACUAUAUGAAUAAGCACCGGCUAACUCCGUGCCAGCAGCCGCGGUAA